AUUGAACGCUGGCGGCAUGCUUUACACAUGCAAGUCGAACGGUAACAGGCCUUCGGGUGCUGACGAGUGGCGAACGGGUGAGUAAUGCAUCGGAACGUACCCAGAGGUGGGGGAUAACGCAGCGAAAGCUGUGCUAAUACCGCAUGUGAUCUGAGGAUGAAAGCGGGGGACCGAGCAGCAAUGUUUGGCCUCGCGCCUUUGGAGCGGCCGAUGUCGGAUUAGCUAGUUGGUGGGGUAAAGGCCUACCAAGGCGACGAUCCGUAGCUGGUCUGAGAGGACGACCAGCCACACUGGGACUGAGACACGGCCCAGACUCUUACGGGAGGCAGCAGUGGGGAAUUUUGGACAAUGGGCGCAAGCCUGAUCCAGCAAUGCCGCGUGCGGGAAGAAGGCCUUCGGGUUGUAAACCGCUUUUGGCAGGAACGAAACGGUGUCCGCUAAUACCGGGCGCUAAUGACGGUACCUGCAGAAUAAGCACCGGCUAACUACGUG
RNAcentral lists this ribosomal RNA (492 nucleotides) under uncultured bacterium. RNAcentral's name for it is "partial 16S ribosomal RNA". It matches the Rfam family "Bacterial small subunit ribosomal RNA", at positions 30 to 507 of the family's 1533-position model. The record is from RNAcentral.